UACGGGGGGGGCAAGCGUUGUUCGGAAUUACUGGGCGUAAAGGGCGCGUAGGCGGUUCGCUAAGUUGGAUGUGAAAACUCUGGGCUUAACCCAGAGCCUGCAUCCAAAACUGGCGAACUUGAGUACUGGAGGGGAAAGCGGAAUUCCUGGUGUAGCGGUGAAAUGCGUAGAUAUCGGAAGGAACAUCAGUGGCGAAAGCGGCUUCCUGGACCAGUACCGACGUUCAGGCACGAAAGCGUGGGGAGCAAACAGG
Molecule: ribosomal RNA, 253 nt
Filed under: uncultured bacterium
Lineage: Bacteria
Description: partial 16S ribosomal RNA
Rfam family: Bacterial small subunit ribosomal RNA
Source: RNAcentral